GGGAUGCGUCUGAUUAGCUUGUUGGCGGGGUAACGGCCCACCAAGGCAACGAUCAGUAGGGGUUCUGAGAGGAAGGUCCCCCACAUUGGAACUGAGACACGGUCCAAACUCCUACGGGAGGCAGCAGUGAGGAAUAUUGGUCAAUGGACGAGAGUCUGAACCAGCCAAGUAGCGUGCAGGAUGACGGCCCUAUGGGUUGUAAACUGCUUUUAUAAGGGAAUAAAGUGAGAGUCGUGACUCUUUUUGCAUGUACCUUAUGAAUAAGGACCGGCUAAUUCCGUGCCAGCAGCCGCGGUAAUACGGAAGGUCCGGGCGUUAUCCGGAUUUAUUGGGUUUAAAGGGAGCGUAGGCCGGAGAUUAAGCGUGUUGUGAAAUGUAGAUGCUCAACAUCUGCACUGCAGCGCGAACUGGUUUCCUUGAGUACGCACAAAGUGGGCGGAAUUCGUGGUGUAGCGGUGAAAUGCUUAGAUAUCACGAAGAACUCCGAUUGCGAAGGCAGCUCACUGGAGCGCAACUGACGCUGAAGCUCGAAAGUGCGGGUAUCGAACAGGAUUAGAUACCCUGGUAGUCCGCACGGUAAACGAUGGAUGCCCGCUGUUGGUCUGAAUAGGUCAGCGGCCAAGCGAAAGCAUUAAGCAUCCCACCUGGGGAGU
This 653-nucleotide ribosomal RNA is filed under the name uncultured bacterium. Its description in RNAcentral is "bacterial SSU rRNA". It matches the Rfam family "Bacterial small subunit ribosomal RNA", at positions 228 to 881 of the family's 1533-position model. The record is from RNAcentral.